Molecule: long non-coding RNA, 1755 nt
Organism: Odontomachus brunneus
Lineage: Eukaryota; Metazoa; Arthropoda; Insecta; Hymenoptera; Formicidae
Exons: 2
Source: RefSeq, a predicted model, not a curated record
AAGCAACAAUUUCGACCGCAGCAUCGACAGUAGUAACAGUAGCGGCGACAACAGUAGCAGCAAUAACAGCAGCAGCAACAACAGCAGCAGCAGCAGCAGUAUAGCUGCAGCAAGCACGGGGAAAGUGCAUAGCUGCAUGAAGUUAUAUUGCUGCUGAUGUAAAUUUUACACACCAGGAAAGAUAAUUUUCUAGCAGAUAUAAAAACAGCGAUAAAUUUUGUCUGUGACAUUUAAAACUCGGAUCAGCAGUGCGAUUUUGCAACUUAUUAACGACAAUAACCUUAGCACUGUGUGUCGUUGCGUAUCUUUAUUAGCAUAUGCUAUAGCAUUUGCUGUGCAAUGUUAACUACAACUCGUUAACGACAGCAGUUAACGAGUUACAGAAUCGUAUUGCAGCAAAACAUUUUUUUUUACCGAAAAGCUUACCGAGGUCGGUCCGGUAAACACGCAUCGAUUAUCCGGCGCGAAUCCCACUUUAAAAUCCGCUUCUUCUGCGGAUUUGUGUCUAAUCUAAAGGAGUAUAUAUUUACGAAUAAAGACUACUUCCGUAUUAGCCCACGACACGAUUUUGCGAAUAUCGACAUGAGUAACGAGGUCAUAUGUACGAUCGCGUACAUAAAGAGAGAGAGAGAGAGAGAGAGAAAGAGAGAGGAGGGGAAGGAGAGAGAAAGAGUGGGAGAGAGAGAGGGGGGAGAGAGAGAGAGGCGAAAUGGCGCGUCGACCCGACCGCAAGGGACCGUGCGGAUGCGAAACGAAAACGGAUGUUGCGGCCUUGAUGAGUUCGCACUGUGGCGAAUACGCGACUUUCGUGCAUUAAUGAAGUCGAUUCGGGAAGGACGACUCGGGAAGGACAUGGCAUCGGCGACGAUGGCAGGGGCGGAUAGAGACGGGCCGCGUAGGAAAAACGCGGCACAUCCGCGCGAGACACGCCUGAAAAAUUCGGGAGAAAGCAGAACUCGUUUCGAUCUCUGUCAGAAAAUUUGCCGGGUGUCGCAACGGCGUCUCACGUAAUAGCUAGGUAAGUCGGUGCGCGCGGCCGCGCGCGCACGACACGUGUAGACGUGGAGAUUGUCAAGAUUUUUUCAGCAAGACGACGCCGGCGGAUGAAUCCCGCUAGAGCAAUUCAACGAUCGAUCGAUGUAACUGAGCAUCGGCUGCGUCGAGUCGAUGAUUACUCGCGUGGCGAACUCUCGCUAAUCGCGCAAGUCCGUACGCGCGCGAUUCAAGAUUACAAGGAGAGCGCGAGGUGCAUUCUUUUUGUAUUUCGCGCAUGGAUUAUACAACAGCUUUUACCAAUUGCGUUGUAUAUAGUAACCGGCAGCGGUGGUUAGGCAAAAACUAACCGAGUUGACUCGGUCUACGAUCCCACGAUCGCGCUCCAUCGACGCGGCGACCGUACGAUAAUAACGUUUGUUAAUUAGACGAUUCCGCGAGGUCAGGAACCAAUGAGAAAUUCCAGCCUACCGUUCGACAGCGCAUAUUACUCGUGUGCGUGAAUGAUGAACUUUAACCGUCACAAGUACGCGACGAUUCAAGGUUCUACAAAAUAAUUCACAAAAGGUCAAUUGUAAGGUAACAGACCUAAUUAUGAAGGAUUUUAAGAGGAUACCAUAUUCGGUAACUUUGCCAUUUUCUGCAAAGUUUACGUUCCAUUGGUUGCACAGAAUUACAAGCGCGUUUAUGUAAUAAACAUGAAAAAGUGAAUUGAAGUAUUGUUCAAUUUGUGACAAAAAUGAUAAACAGUUUUAAAAUUUA